GGAAUUGUGGCUCAGUGGUAGAGUGCUUGCUAGCACGUGUGAGGCACUGGGUUCGAUUCUCAGCAAUCCA
Molecule: transfer RNA, 70 nt
Filed under: Ictidomys tridecemlineatus (thirteen-lined ground squirrel)
Lineage: Eukaryota; Metazoa; Chordata; Mammalia; Rodentia; Sciuridae
Description: Spermophilus tridecemlineatus (thirteen-lined ground squirrel) tRNA
Rfam family: tRNA
About the family: Transfer RNA (tRNA) molecules are approximately 80 nucleotides in length. Their secondary structure includes four short double-helical elements and three loops (D, anti-codon, and T loops).
Source: Rfam by way of RNAcentral